GACGAACGCUGGCGGCGUGCUUAACACAUGCAAGUCGAACGGAAAGGCCCUGCUUUUGUGGGGUGCUCGAGUGGCGAACGGGUGAGUAACACGUGAGUAACCUGCCCUUGACUUUGGGAUAACUUCAGGAAACUGGGGCUAAUACCGGAUAGGAGCUCCUGCUGCAUGGUGGGGGUUGGAAAGUUUCGGCGGUUGGGGAUGGACUCGCGGCUUAUCAGCUUGUUGGUGGGGUAGUGGCUUACCAAGGCUUUGACGGGUAGCCGGCCUGAGAGGGUGACCGGCCACAUGGGGACUGAGAUACGGCCCAGACUCCUACGGGAGGCAGCAGUGGGGAAUAUUCACAAUGGGCGGAAGCCUGAUGCAGCAACGCCGCGUGCGGGAUGACGGCCUUCGGGUUGUAAACCGCUUUCGCCUGUGACGAAGCGUGAGUGACGGUAAUGGGUAAAGAAGCACCGGCUAACUACGUG
Molecule: ribosomal RNA, 467 nt
Filed under: uncultured bacterium
Lineage: Bacteria
Description: partial 16S ribosomal RNA
Rfam family: Bacterial small subunit ribosomal RNA
Source: RNAcentral